Non-coding RNA from Schistocephalus solidus, 83 nucleotides. The record is from Rfam. NCBI's taxonomy places the organism in Eukaryota, Metazoa, Platyhelminthes, Cestoda, Diphyllobothriidea, Diphyllobothriidae.
GGCCUCGUAGCUCAGUUGGCUAGAGCGUUGGCUGUACUAAAGUCUUCCGCUUGCUGGCGUCGGUUCGAAUCCCAUCGAGUCUG